Oncorhynchus mykiss (rainbow trout) is the source of this 1446-nucleotide non-coding RNA. NCBI's taxonomy places the organism in Eukaryota, Metazoa, Chordata, Actinopteri, Salmoniformes, Salmonidae. The record is from RefSeq and is a predicted model, not a curated record.
UAAUGCUAUGGGAAGAUCCUUUGGGGGGUUCUACAGAGGGCAGGACUUGGCUCUGUGUCUUGUUCCUAAAGGAAGUCUCUCUAUUGCAGUUUAUUCUGAAUACUUAAACACUAACAGUGAUUCUUGAAGCACUAUCUCUGAAACCAUUAACACUUGUAGCCAAUGCAUUUACCAAGUGUGCCAAACUGAAUGCACGUUCUCUGCUUUACACUUUUUGUAAUUUUAUAACACACUUUUUGCAAAACUGUAAACACAACUCACUGUUUUAUACUCAGUUUGCAAUUUAAUAACAUACUUCUAGCAAAACUGUAAACAUUGGUCUCUACAUUGCUACACUAUUUCGCCAAUUGCCUUUCCACAUUGACACAUGUUAAAACACUUUCAGAUAAUGAGUUACAAAUCAGAGCUUACAAAUCAGAGCUUGAGCACUAUAAAUAGGCCACAGGUAAACAUUUGGUUUGAACAACAAUGGAGGCCAAUACUGGACAGAGAGUAAGAGGGGUGAAAACUAGAGGAGGAUGAAGAGGACGAGGAGGUGAGUAAGUAAGAGGAGGAGGAGGAGAAGGAAGGGGUGAAGUAGGAUGGGCAGAAGGAGACGACGGGGAAGAGGAAGGGAAGUCAGGAACACAAUAACUGAUGAAAUCAGAGCGACUGUGGUUGACCAUGUUGUCAGCCAUGGGAUGAGCAUGAGGGAGGCUGGGCAAUGGGUUCAACCAAAUCUGAGCCGCUAUACUGUUGCAGGUAUCAUCCGGAUAUGUUGAAAUGAGAACCGAACUGCAAGAAAACCAGUACCUGGUGGAAGAGGUCGACAGAGCAGGAGACCCACAUUGUAAAGAUGGUCAUUGCAAAUAACUGCAUCAGACUAAGAGAGCUACAGGACCCCAUAAUGGCAGAUAACACGAUAUUCCAAAACGUCAACAGAGUGAGUCUCGCUGCACUGUCUCGUCUACUGAAACGCAAUAGAAUUAGGAUGAAGCAGCUGUACAGAGUCCCUUUCGAAAGAAACUCAGACAGUGUAAAACAACUGAGAUAUGAAUAUGUGCAGAGAGUCAUGGAGCUAGAAGCAGAUGCAGUGCAUCAUGAGCUAAUAUAUGUGGACGAGGCAGGUUUCAACCUUGCAAAAACAAGGGGCCGCGGCAGAAAUAUCAUCGGACACCGUGCCAUCAUCAACUUGGACAACUUGGUGGCAACAUAACAAUGUGUACAGCUAUUAGUCAAAACGGCGUCCUUCACCAUCAUGCAAUCCUAGGCCCAUACAACACUGCACACAUUAUCACAUUUCUGGACCCCCUCCACAACAGACUGAUCCCUAAUGACCAGGGGCCAGAGCAGCCCAGGUACGUUAUCAAAAAACUAUUCUGUUCUUUUUUGUUUCUAGCACAAAUGUUUUUGUUUUCUUCUACUGCACUUUUGUUGUUUGAGUGUUUGGAGAAAAAAAAAAAAAAA